UACGGAGGGUGCAAGCGUUAAUCGGAAUUACUGGGCGUAAAGGGCGCGUAGGUGGUUACUUAAGUCGGAUGUGAAAGCCCCGGGCUUAACCUGGGAAUUGCAUUUGAUACUGGGUGACUAGAAUGUGGUAGAGGGUAGCGGAAUUUGUGGUGUAGCGGUGAAAUGCUUAGAUAUCACAAAGAACUCCAAUUGCGAAGGCAGCUCACUGGGGUAUAACUGACGCUGAUGCACGAAGGUGUGGGUAUCAAACAGG
This 253-nucleotide ribosomal RNA is filed under the name uncultured bacterium. Its description in RNAcentral is "partial 16S ribosomal RNA". It matches the Rfam family "Bacterial small subunit ribosomal RNA", at positions 524 to 776 of the family's 1533-position model. The record is from RNAcentral.